AGGACACUUAACAUUUAAAUUCUAUCAAGAAAUUUAUUUUCUUUGAUGUGGAUGCAGCCAAUUUAAAUUUCAUCACAGGUGCAGAAGAACCAGAAGCAAUAGAAAGAGGAGCAAAUCGAUCAUCAUCUAGUGCCUGUGAGCUGGAUUUGGGUCACCUGGGUGCCUCCCUGCUUCGAGAACCAACAGUGUGGUGGUUUCAAGGACCUCGGCUUCUGGUUUGGGACCACAAAUAUUUCCUAAUCUCUAGAAAUGCUCUCAGUUUACGAUCUGCUUUAGACACGCACUACUAAGUUUAUAUCAAAGGACACUCUGGUUUGAAAUGUGCUCUGGUAUCCAUCAAUGAACAUUUUUCUUCAUGCUCGGUAGCAAUGAUGGUUUAAAACUGUUCUUGCCAUUAAUAAAUCUGGAAUAGGGGCGAGGUGCGGUGGCUCACACCUGUAAUCCCAGCAUUUUGGGAGGCCGAGGCAGGCAGAGUACUUGAGGUCAGGAGUUUCAGACCAGCCUGGUCAACAUGGUGAAACCCUGUCUCUGCUAAAAAUACAAAAAUUAGCUGGGUGUGGUGGCAGGUGCCUGUAAUCCCAGCUACUCAGGAGGCUAAGGCAGGAGAAUUGCUUGAACCUGGGAGGCAGACGUUGCAGUGAGCCGAGAACGCACACCUGCACUCCAGCCUGGGCGGCAGAGCAAGACUCCAUCUCAAAACAUAAAUUUGAAUUCAUCACCUCUACUGAUUCCCAUUAAUAAAUGUUAAUGGAAUGGGCAAGGAAAUGAUCCGACCUUUUGAAGAUCCAUGGACUGCAAGCAAAUAUGACGAGUAGGGUGGCUCUACCCUUGAUAAUUUCAAAAGGCACAAGCAAUAAGGGGGUUCAUCUGCAUGACACUGGCCCCUGUGGACAGGGUUGACUUAUUUGGAGGUUCAAGAUAAUUGACCACUAAGUCUGGUUCUGGAGAAGUUGGGUUUCCACAUGCCUUACAGAGCUUGAGCUCCAAAGAAGAAUUUGCAUGACAGUCUACUUAAGAGAUGGAUUCCACAGACAAAGCAAUUCAAGAGGCACUUGAAGCUCAGCAAAAUAUGGAAAUAAUGGAUGAGUUUUACAUUUUAUUUUAUUUUUAUUUUUUCUCUUUGUUUGCCUAAGUUUUACAUUUUAAAUCACAGAAUUAUACCCUUGCUCAACUACUAAUACAAGUAAGAUAGAUUCAUUUUAAUAAUGGAUAGAAAAAUUAAGUAACUUGAAAAUAGAUAUAUUACAAAACAAUUUGCACACAUUCACUUUUUUGGUCUCUAAAACUUCUUUUUAAAAGUGUUUAAUUUAUUUUCAUAACCUGGCAUUCUGAUAUGUGAAUGCAAUUAAAUAAAAUAGAACUUCUUUGUUUUCUAUUAAA
Homo sapiens (human) is the source of this 1380-nucleotide long non-coding RNA. The record is from Ensembl. NCBI's taxonomy places the organism in Eukaryota, Metazoa, Chordata, Mammalia, Primates, Hominidae.